UUGUCCUAGUGCUAGGACACCUGGGUGACCAAGGCGGCAGGGAGUGGGGAAUUGGCAAAGAGAUGGGAGGAAGUUUUCAGUCAGCCUUGCGUCCAGCUUGUUAAGGCAGCCGUGCUCUGGCGGUCCAGAUUUGCAGGAGGCAUGAUUAGAGCAAAAGCAUGAACCAGCCCAUCGCUGCAGCAGACUACACAGCAGGACAAAUGCCUGUCUGAUUGCACCUUUUUUGUGUUAUUUUGGUUGGGUUGUCUUACAAAGACAUCCACAGCUACUGAAUCAUGUACUUAUGGGGUGCCAAGUUGCAACUGACCUGUUGAAACCCUAAUAGUAGUUUCAAGAUCAUUGUGGUCCUCACUCCCUUUAUCCAUCAUACAGAGCCCUUUCCUUUUGUAUAUUGUGAGAAAAUCAGUGAGACCCUGGAGGACAAGGCUAAAUGUACAACUGUUCCCUUCCUUGUGCUUACUGUAUUAAAAUAAGU
Non-coding RNA from Pogona vitticeps (central bearded dragon), 475 nucleotides. The record is from RefSeq and is a predicted model, not a curated record. NCBI's taxonomy places the organism in Eukaryota, Metazoa, Chordata, Lepidosauria, Squamata, Agamidae.